Molecule: RNA transcript, 1790 nt
Organism: Drosophila subpulchrella
Lineage: Eukaryota; Metazoa; Arthropoda; Insecta; Diptera; Drosophilidae
Gene: Ntan1
Gene name: protein N-terminal asparagine amidohydrolase
Exons: 7
Source: RefSeq, a predicted model, not a curated record
UCUCAUUCCGGUUUGCUGCUCGUCGUCUCGCGGAUACUUCAGCGCACUCGCAGUUUCAGUCCGAAAAUUCCUCUUAAAUCCAAGGGAUAUUUAAAACUAACAGAUACUAAAAAAACAGAAACAGUUUUAUAAAAAAAGUAUUAAAGAAAUGCCGACGGCUUAGUGAGAAAACAGUGAAAAAUAACAAUCUGAAAGUGGAUUUUAUCACUAGAAAGCCUGUAAAGAUCCUUUUUAGUGCAGUGAGAAAUUAAAUAUCAAAUUGCCUGCUACUUGUCUUGCCCGAGACAAAAUCCCAGUAACUUAAAGCGAAACCCUUGGACCAGGGUCAAGGAAGGACCAAACCCACAGCCAGGAUGGUGCUCGUGCUGAAUGGUGUGCUGCAGGACGACUGCCCCAUGGACACCAACAGCCUCUUCCUGCAGCAUCCCGUUUACAGAGACUACGCCCAGCAGCUGCACUCCAUCCAGGCCAAGUCGGUGGGGCCGGUGGGUCUGCUCUACGUGGGUCAGCGGGAACUGGCCGCCUCCGCUCCACACGACAAGCACGUCAACAUCAUUGGCGCCGACGAUGCCACCACCUGUAUUAUCGUCGUGGUCCGACACUCGGGAUCUGGCGCCGUGGCUCUGGCCCACUUCGAUGGCAGCGGCGUGGACGAGGCUGUGUGCACCAUGGUGUCGCGGGUUCAGGAGCUGGCCGUCGGCUAUCCGGAGGGUCGCAUCGAGUUGCAGUUGAUUGGUGGCUAUCGGGAUGCCAAGGGCUACGGCGAGGACGUCUUCUUCAGCAUCAUGCAAUCAUUCCACAAUCACCUACUCGAGAUCGAUCUAACGCAGGCCUGCGUGGGCGAGCUGAACACCAUGAUGCGCGGCGAGAUUAGCUGCCCGAUCAUUUACGGCGUGGGCGUCAACAUCAAGACUGGUGAGAUCUUUCCGGCCUCUUUUCCGGACCGAGGACCAGAUCGGGAACUGCGCGAUGCUCGCAUUUUUAUGGGAGCGCAGUCGGUCCUGGAUGUAUACGACUCCUCGCUGGGCAUGCUUCGUAUCGGACCCUUCAACUAUGAUCCGCUGCGCGGCGCCGAUCUGUGGCUUUCCCAAACGGAUGAGUUUCUGCUGCAGCACCUGUCCUCCAGUCCCGACGUGGAGCCGCCCCACUUUGCGCCCCAGACGCGUGCAACCAUUAGAUUUAUACAGGAGAACCAGUUUCCCGCCGUCACCGUCUUCAGGGACAACCGGCCUCGCUACUUCCGGCGGGAUGAUGCCACGGGCUUCUGGGUGCUGGUUAGAUAUUAAAGCUUACUUUAGUGUUUAGUUGUUACGCAAUUCGAAACUGUCGCAGAUGUGUUAAUCAGCUGGUGCAUGUGUUAAUUGUCGCUGUCCACCGCAAAUGCUUCUGCCUGCCUUUUGUUUGAGUUUAAAUCGUUGAGUUGAUUAUAUUCGGCUGUAAUUGUCAUUGCUGUUCUGAUUAAUCUGAUAUACAAGAUUGAGUUCCGACGCUGGAGACGGUUGCUUGGGACGAGCCUUAGAAAUGGAUCUGAACUGGAAACGUUAAAGCGAUAAAUAAUGAUUAAUAAUUAUUAAAAGUGUAUGUGCACAUGUGCAUGUAAAUAUUUAUGUGAACCUUAUUAAAGAAUCGAUUACUAUUUAAAAGAGAUCCCUAGCAAAAUAUAUACAUAUGCGCAUACCCCGUGUAAACGAAAGGAAACAAUUUCGAAUGCAAUCAUUUUAGCUGUAACUAUAACCUGUAAUCAAAAAUUUAAGAAAAAUAUAUAAAAAUGGCUUGGCUAUACAUACACA